UACGUAGGGGGCGAGCGUUGUCCGGAUUCAUUGGGCGUAAAGCGCGCGUAGGCGGCUUCGCAAGUCGGCCGUGAAAUCUCCGGGCUCAACUCGGAGGGGUCGGGCGAGACUGCGAGGCUCGAGGUGGGCAGAGGGCAGUGGAAUUCCGGGUGUAGUGGUGGAAUGCGUAGAGAUCCGGAGGAACACCAGUGGCGAAGGCGGCUGCCUGGGCCUGGCCUGACGCUGAGGCGGCGAAAGCGUGGGGAGCAAUCCGG
RNAcentral lists this ribosomal RNA (254 nucleotides) under uncultured bacterium. RNAcentral's name for it is "partial 16S ribosomal RNA". It matches the Rfam family "Bacterial small subunit ribosomal RNA", at positions 524 to 776 of the family's 1533-position model. The record is from RNAcentral.